AUUGAACGCUGGCGGCGUGCUUAACACAUGCAAGUCGAUCGGUAACAGGUGUAGCAAUACAUGCUGACGAGAGGCGGACGGGUGAGUAAUGCUUGGGGAUCUGCCUAUUAGUGGGGGACAACCCGGGGAAACUCGGGCUAAUACCGCAUACGCUCUACGGAGGAAAGCCGGGGACCGCAAGGCCUGGCGCUAAUAGAUGAGCCCAAGUCGGAUUAGCUAGUUGGUAGGGUAACGGCCUACCAAGGCGACAAUCCGUAGCUGGUCUGAGAGGACGACCAGCCACACCGGAACUGAGACACGGUCCGGACUCCUACGGGAGGCAGCAGUGGGGAAUAUUGGACAAUGGGGGCAACCCUGAUCCAGCGACGCCGCGUGGGUGAAGAAGGCCUGCGGGUUGUAAAGCCCUUUGGUGGGGAAGAAAAGUCUCGACCUAAUACGUCGGGACCUUGACGUAACCCACUAAAGAAGCACCGGCUAACUCUGUGCCAGCCGCCGCGGUAAC
RNAcentral lists this ribosomal RNA (502 nucleotides) under uncultured bacterium. RNAcentral's name for it is "bacterial SSU rRNA". It matches the Rfam family "Bacterial small subunit ribosomal RNA", at positions 29 to 524 of the family's 1533-position model. The record is from RNAcentral.